Molecule: long non-coding RNA, 12618 nt
Filed under: Nicotiana benthamiana
Lineage: Eukaryota; Viridiplantae; Streptophyta; Magnoliopsida; Solanales; Solanaceae
Description: long non-coding RNA (NBEN_LNC036140)
Source: RNAcentral
UCACUCUUCCUUUCCAUUUUCUUACGUCUUUCUCCAUAGUCGGUGUUAACUUAAGGCCGCGAGAAAGACAAAAAGGAACAAGAUGGUAUCCCUACUACUUCUCUAUUGGACAGAAAUUUAACUUGUUGGUUUGCCCCUUCCAAAGUAAGCUCAUGUCUCUAUAUUGUAGGGUUUUUAGAUCUAUUCACAUUUGCUUGGGUUUGGAUUUUUAACUCAAUUUACAAGUUAUUCCAGCAAUUUGAUUGAUAUUAUGCGAUUUUGAAGAUUUGAUAGGUUUUGUGCCUUACAUAACUUGAGUUUCUGCUUCAAUUAUUUGUUUUUUAUUUACAGGAUACUCAAGAAAAAUGUGCCUUUGAGAAAUUUCACUCCCUUCUAAUGCAAAAUUGUAAGUUUUACUUCUUUUUUCCAUGUCCUUAAAUUUAUGAUGUUUAUUUUAUUUAAAUGCUUUUUCAUUUGCGUUCAGUGUUGGAAAAAACUUUAGAUCUUUUUUCAACUGAUUCAUGGCUAAGUUUUUGUAUGGGGUCGAAUUUGGUUAUCAAUGUCCCCAUGAUUAAUGGGUACGUCCCAUGCAAAGUGAUGGCACGGCCCGGACGUGGGGUAAAGGCGAUGUCGUUUAGAACUUAACUUCUUCACUGAGCGGCACCUACUUUUGUACUUUUCUUUUGAUUAUUUCGAAGAAGGCCUCCUAUUACAUAAAGGAGACCUUCACAUUGUAACAUACAUGACAAUUAUUCUUGAAUAAUACAACUUCUCUCUCUAUCUCUAUCUCUUUCUCUGUCUUCUAUAAUUGCUUCUCUUUUAAGCUAAUAUUAUCUUUUUUAUCUUUUAGAUCUAGAACUACCAUAUUAUCGAUCUAACCUCUAGGUCAGAUUAUAUUUGAUUACGAUUUACCCUUAUUAUCUUUUGAUUUUUUUCUAAAGCUUGUAAAGUAUAUCGAUAACUUUUGAGCUAAACAAUUUGGCGCCGUCUGUGAGCAUUUCGAGAAUCAAAACCAUAGUUUGCACCUAGAGAACAACCGACAACUACUCUCUACUCCACACGAAUAAAAAUGACCGAAAACAACGCAAGAAUGAAGGAAAUAGUAGAUGUUGCAACCAACCUCAUCGGUCCUCUCAACGAAGCCGGUGAAGAAGGUGUUUCGGUUACAACCCCUAGCACCACUACGAGUGGGGAGAUCCCACCUCCCCCACCUGGAGAUAUGAUCUUGCAGGGAAAGGGUGCUUCUACAUCUUCAACUGAAGAAUUACCCCCAGAGGUCAAAAAGCUAUUGGGAGAAUGGCUAACAGGUGCCCUAAGUGGUCUGAUCGAAAAGUCACCACAAAGUAACUUCAAUUGUGCACCGAUAGUAGAUCUCAUCGCUGCCAUGGCUGAACCUGAAAUGGCAGGAGAAAAUGACAUGCCAGGUGAGAUACAGGACAACGAUGGCACGCUCACAUCCAUUCUUAAAAUGAUGGAGCAGAUGGAAAGCAAAAAACAGUCACUUCGUGACCAGAUGAAGGAACACCAGGACAGGGUAGACAAGAUCCUAGGUUCCCCCACGUUGCUGCCAAAAGGCGGCGGCGUAAGAUUCAUUGAACAACCCUACACUAAGGAGGCUGCCCCGUACUCCAUUCCGAAGACCUUCAAAAUGCCGCCCUACCUAAAAGUAUAUGACGGGACCACGGAUCCCGAGGAUCAUCUUGUCCACUAUGCCAUGGUUGUAAAGGGCAACGAACUAUCAAAGGAACAUGUACCAUCAGUGCUGCAGAAAAAGUUCGGUGAAACACUGACAGGAGGAGCCCUAACGUGGUACUCCCAACUACCGGCUAAGAUCAUUUCUACGUUCGAGGAAAUGGAGGACAAGUUCAUCACCGCCAUGCAGGAUCAAAGAAAGCAUAAGCAAGGGUUAAUGAUAUCUUCGUCGCCCGUCAAACCACAGGAGAAGGACUCGGGGACUUCCUAGCCAGGUUUAACAGGGUAAGGAUGAGUUUACCCAACGUAUUGGAAGGCAUGGCGGUGGCCGCUUUCAAAAAUGGACUAAGCAGAGAUGGUUCAAGGGCGACCAAAAAGCUACUAAGCCGUCUCAUGAAGUACCCUCCCACCACAUGGGAAGAAAUCCAUAAUGCCUAUUAUGCCGAGGUAAGAGCAAACGAGGAUGACCCAAUGGGCCGACCCAAUGGUUGACGACAAUACAUCCAUAAAUUAGAAGGGAUCGACGCAUCGAGGGACGGCGGGAACAAAAUCCGUGUCUCAACAAAGAAAGGCAUCAGCCUUUCGUCAGAUCCUCCCAUACGCCGCCACCAAGACACACGGAUGCACUUCAGCGACAUGUCGCUCCAUUCCGAAACGAAAGAGGUAUGCCUCCUUUAUUAUCCUCCCAUAAUUUUUGCGUGUCUCAUUCGUAGAUAGUGUGCGCACUAGAGAAGCUGAGCAGCAAGAACAAUGGCCGACGAAGAUGAAAUCAGACCCCACCACAAGGAAAUCAAAUGUCCUAUGUGAGUUCCAUUAGGAACGAGGGCACAAAAUUGAGAACUGUUAGACCUACGGAAAGAAGUGGUCAGAAUGCUAUCAAGGGUACCUGAGAGAGCUACUCAGUGAAAAAGGGAAAACCAACUUUGCACGCGGACGUGAGCAACCCCAUGGGCCGCCGAAGCCUCCCUCCCCAACACGUACGAUUAAUAUGAUCAUUGGAGGCAGUGACGACUCAGCAAUCAACCAUGUCAAUCUCACCACCACACAAAAACUGAAGCGAACCAUCGCCCACAAACGGUAUGACGACUUAGAAGAUAGUAUCACCUUUGAUAAGUCCGAUGCCAACGAUUAGUCUUUCCCUUACUAUGAUGCUUGAGUUAUCACUUUACAUAUCACAGAUACAGAUGUUAAAAGAAUCCUGAUUGAUGACACAAGCGGCGCCUGUAUUAUCCACCCAAGGGUCCUCACACAAAUGGGACUCGAGGACAAGAUAAUACCGCGAUGUAUAACACUAACUGGUUUUAAUAAUACAGUGGAACGGGCCUCCAGAGAAAUAUCCAUGCCCGUUUUAGCGGGAUGAGUCAUGCUGGAAACAAUUUUCCACGUGAUAGACCAAAAAACAACAUACAAUUCCAUCAUAGGACGCCCAUGGAUACACACCAUGCGAGCAGUUUCGAUAAGCUUUUACCAAAUGAUCAUAUUCCCUACCCCAUUGGGAAUAUUCAACAUCCGAGGCGAGCCACGCACCGCAAGGGAAUGCUACAAAAUAGCUCAAGAUUUCGCCCACACCAAACAACUUAAGGGGGCGAGUGUAGAGGCAUAGCAAUCAGCGAUGUCGGGGACCAAGGUCGACCCGACAAGGGACGCCAUUAAAGAUCCUGAUACCGUAGAGGCUUGUAAAGCUACGGUCGAAGAUCUCGACCUAGUCCAAUUGGACGACGCCAACCUCACGAAGAAAGCCUACAUCGGGCAUGGCCAUACAAAUCCAAGUAUGUAUAUUGAAUGUUUACUAACCAUGCAGAUCUGUUCGCUUUUUCCAAUUCAGAUAUGCCAGGGAUCCCACGAGACAUCGCCACUCACAAGCUAAACAUUGAUCCAUUACACCCGCAUAUGCGGAAAGUGAGGAAGAAAUUCAAUGUCGCUCUUAACGAAGCGGUCAGUGAGGAAGUAAACAAACUACUGGCCAACAGCUCCAUCGGGGAAUCAAAAUACCCCCAAUGGAUCGCCAAUGUUGUCAAGGUCAAAAAGAAAUAUAGGAAGUAAAGAAUGUGCUUAUACUUCACCGACCUAAACAAGGCGUGCCCAAAGGAUUCAUUUCCACUUCCCCACAUCGACCAACUAAUCGAUGCUACCACAGGAGAUGAGCUGCUAAGCUUCCUAGACGCUUAUUCCGGCUACAGUCAGAUCAUGAUGGCCGAAGAGGACCAGGAAAAAACAACUUUCAUCACCCACCAAGGGACAUAUUGCGACAAGGUAAUGCCCGUCGAGCUAAAAAAUGCAGGAGCUACGUACCAGAGACUGGUCACCAAGAUGUUCAAAGAACAACUCGGUAAAACCAUAGAAGUCUACAUCGACGACAUGCUGGUAAAAUCAGCAAAUAAAGAGGACCACAUCAACAACCUGAAGGAAUCCUUCGAGAUAUUGAGGAGAUAUGGAAUGAAGCCGAACCAUGAGAAGUGCACAUUCGGCGUGGCCUCAGGGAAAUUCUUAGGGUUUCUCGUAUCACAACGAGGCAUCGAGGUCAACCCAGACCGGAUCAAGAUGAUAGACGCCAUACCUCAGGUGUUGAACAUCAAAAAAUAGGUACAAAAGCUAACAAGGCGGAUAGCCGCUCUAUACAGAUUCAUCUCGCGGUCCUCCCACAGGUGCCAUAAAUUUUUCAAUGUGCUGAAAAAAGAUCAAGGGUUACAAUGGAAUGAAGAAUGCGUCGAAGCCUUGAGAAAGUUAAAAGUGUACCUAUCCUCACCGCCCCUGCUAGUCAAAGCGAGCCCAGGCGAACCUCUGCUGGUGUAUCUGGCCGUAUCCGAGGUAGCCGUUAAUGCAGUCUUGGUCCGCGAAAAUGAAGGUUCGCAAUCUCCUAUUUAUUACAUUAGAAAAACGUUAGUGGACGCCGAAACACGAUAUCCACACCUUGAGAGAUUAGCUCUGGCAUUGGUCGUGGCUUCACGGAAGCUCCGACCCUACUUUCAAUUCCACCCCAUAAAAGUGGUGACGACCUUCCCAUUGAGAAAGGUCCUACACAAGCCUGAAUUAUCAGGUGGGUUUGCCAUAUGGGCCAUUGAGCUCAGCGAGCACGACAUCUCAUACCACCCAAGAACCGCCAUAAAAUCGCAAGUACUUGGCGAUUUUAUAGCGGAUUUCAACGUAGAAAUCCUACCAGAGGCGGAACGCGAGGUACAAUGUGACUCCUCCCAUACCGACCUACGAACUCUCUACAGUGACGGUGCCGCCAAUGCAUCGGGGUCAGGACUGGGACUCAUUCUCGUGGUUCCAACAUGCGAAAAAAUUUGCCAAUCCAUACGAUGUCCCAAAACGACUAACAACGAGACCGAGUACGAGGUCGUUAUCGCAGGUAUGAAACUAGUCAUCAAGUAUGGGGCUCGACAAAUCAUCCUUCAUUGCGACUCCUAACUUGUGGUGAAUCAGGUCAUUGGGACUUACCAAAUAAAUAAAACAAAGGCUGCAGAAGUACUAGUCAGAAAUCCACAAGCUGAUGGCCUAGUUCGACGAGUGCCGCUUCGAGCAGAUUCUAAAGGCACAGAACGUCGAAGCAGACGGCCUAAAGAAACUUGCCACGGCCACUAAAAACUUUCACAAAGAGAGCGUGGUCACCCUCCUCCACUCAGCCAUCGACCAUACUGAGGUAUUCUCUUCAAAUCUGACUUGGGACUGGCGCAACUAGUUUGUAUCCUACCUACAGGAUGAAACACUGCCACUCGGCAAAAAAGAGGCAAAGAAACUCUGCGUACAAGCUGCCUGGUAUUGCCUGUUAAACGUCCUCUACAAAAGGACGUUCGGCAGACCCUUGGCCAAGUGUCUAGGGCCGUAUCAAACGAGGUCAGUGCUCGUAGAAAUGCACGAGGGUCACUAUGGUGCCCACACAGGUAACCGCGCCCUUGUACGAUACCUCAUACGGGCUGGCUAUUACUGGCCUGCCAUGAAGAAAGAAGCAGCAGAAUACGUUCGCUGGUGCGAACAGUGCCAAAAAUAUGCCCUCGUGAUAUACCAACCGGGAGAACCUCUCCACUCGGUCACAUCUCCAUGUCCCUUCAUCAAGUGGGAAAUGGAUAUAGUCGAACCCCUUCUCGCGGGACGAGGAAAGGUACAAUUUCUACUAGUUUCAACUGACUAUUUCUCCAGGUGGGUGGAAGUACGUGCGUACGCUCUAAUACGCGAAUAGGAGGUCAUUGCCUUAAUAUGGAAAAAUAUCAUAUCCCGCUUCGGCAUCCCCAAGGAAAUCAUCUGCGACAACGUACGACAAUUUAUUGGUCAAAAGAUAACAAAAUUCUUCAAAAAACGGCAUAUCAAGCGAAUACUCUCAACGCCAUACCAUCCUGCCGCCAAUGGUCAAGCAUAAUCCUCCAACAAGACAAUACUAAAUAUACUAAAAAAGAAACUUGAGGAAGCCAAAGGGCUAUGGCCUGAGCUACUACCAUAAGUAUUAUGGGCCCAUCGGACUACACCAAAAUCCAGCACAGAAGAAACACUGUACUCACUGGUCUAUGGAACCGACGCGGUUAUACCAGUCGAGGUCGGUGAACCAAGCUUGAGGUACUCGCACACCAGGGGAAUAGAAAAUGACAUGAACAGGCUCCAGGACCUCGACGAAGCCGAGGAAAGGAGAAAAAUGGCCCACAUCAGAAUGGUGGCCCAAAAACAACAGGUUGAAAGGUACUACAACAAGAGGGCCAAGAUAAGACCACUCAAAGUGGGAGACUAUGUCCUCAAAAAAAUCCAGCACAGAAGAAACACUGUACUCACUGGUCUAUGGAACCGACGCGGUUAUACCAGUCGAGGUCGGUGAACCAAGCUUGAGGUACUCGCACACCAGGGGAAUAGAAAAUGACAUGAACAGGCUCCAGGACCUCGACGAAGCCGAGGAAAGGAGAAAAAUGGCCCACAUCAGAAUGGUGGCCCAAAAACAACAGGUUGAAAGGUACUACAACAAGAGGGCCAAGAUAAGACCACUCAAAGUGGGAGACCAUGUCCUCAAAGCAAAGACAUUGGCAUCCAAAGACCCAAGCGAAGGAAAAUUGGGCACUAAUUGGGACGGACCCUACAAAAUCAUAGCAUCAGCCAAUAACGGAGCAUUACAGUUGGAAACAAUGGAAGGGACAAUGCUACAAAACAAUUGGAAUGUCGCCCACCUCAAGUAUUUUCAUUUCUGAAAGGCGUCUCCCGAGUCAUACUCUUUUUCCCAUACCCGAGUUUUGUCUCAAUUGGGUUUUCUCGGAUAGGUUUUUAACGAGGCUGUGGAAGGGACACCUGGAGAUAUUUUCGGAACAAGUUUAUCAUAUCAGCCUCUCCAUACGCUCUCCAGGCCGACAUGAUAAAGCUGGACUAUCAUUAUCUCCAAUGUAUAAAUGGCUAUGGUCAUCUCCAAUGUAUAAAUGGCUACGACCAUCUCCAAUGUAUAAAUGACUACGGCCAUCUCCAAUGUAUAAAUGGCUACGUCCAUCUCCAAUGUAUAAACGACCACAACCAUCUCCAAUGUAUAUGCGGCUACGGUCAUCUCCAAUACAUAAAUGGCUACGGUCAUCUCCAACGUGCAAGUGGCUAAGGCCAUCGCUGCCAACAGUCGACCCAGUUCAACUACAGAAAGCAAGUGAUUCAACGACAAUCAAAGUCACCCAUAUGUCCAAGGCCAUCAACAAGAUAUGACCAAGGUCAUUAACUUAAUUCUGGCCAAGGCCAUUGAAUUCACCAUGGCUAAGGCCUUCGCCGCCAACAGUCAACCCAGUUCGACUACGGCAAGCAAGUGAUUCGAUGACAAUCGAAGUCAACCAUAUGGCCAAGGCCAUCAACAAGUUAUGACCAAGGUCAUCAACUUAAUUUUGUCCAGGCCAUCGAAUUCAUCAUGGUUAAGUCCUUCACCGCCAACAGUCGACCUAGUUCGACUACAACAAGCACGUGAUUCGACGACAGUCGAAGUAACCCAUAUGGCCAAGGCCAUAACUAAGUUAUGACCAAGGUCAUCAACUUAAUUCUGGCCAAGGCCAUCGAUUCAUCCUAGCUAAGGCCUUUGCCGCCAACAGUCAACGCAGUUCGACUACGACAAGCAAGUGAUUCGACGACAAUCUAAGUCACCCAUAUGGCCAAGGUCAUCAACAAGUUAUGACUAAGGUCAUCAACUAAUUCUGGCGAAAGCCAUCGAAUUCAUCAUGGCUAAGGCCAUCGCCGCCAACAGUCAACCCAGUUCGGCUACGGUAAGAAAGUGAUUCAACGACAGUCGAAGUCACCCAUAUGGCGAAGGCCAUCAACAAGUUAUAACCAAGGUUAUCAACUUAAUUCUCGCCAAGGCCAUCGAAUUCAUAUUGGCUAAGGCCUUCGUCGACCGAGUUCGACUACAGUCGAAGUCACCCAUAUGGCCAAGGUCAUCAACAAGUUAUGACCAAGGUCAUAAACUUAAUUCUGACCAAGGCCAUCGACUUCAUCAUGGCUGAGGCCAUCGUCGUCAGACAUCGACCCAGAUCGACCACGACAAAUAAGAGAGUGACUCGACGACAGUCAAUGUCACACUCACGGCUAAGGCCAUCAAAUUAUAUGGCUAAGGCCAUCCACGUUAUCAUUGGUCAAGGCCAUUGAGAUCGGCUACGACAAACGACCCGACAUAGGCCAAAAACACACGUAUAGCUAAGGCCAUCAAUUUUAAACAGCGACCUAGUUCGAUCGUUCUCCACGAAUCACCGACCUAGUUUGACUGCGGCAUAAAGCACGUGAACAUCAAGCAAAAAUGUAAAAAAAGUCCAACAAGUAAACGAGUGCCCGCUCUACGAAGACAUGACGCCAAAAAGUAAAAGAGCAAAUGGAAGAAUAAAUUAGCAGAAAGCUAUACUUCAUUAUCUAUAAAACAAUACAUGUACAUCCGACCCUGAAAAAGGCCCCGGUUACAUACAAAAAAAAAUACACAAGCCCUAAGAGCCUUUGCCGCUUCGUCCACCAUACCCUGCUUUGCCGCCAUUUGGUCCGCCAUCGCCCCAAGAGGAUAAGUCUUAAAGAUCCAAGAGUCAUACUCUAGACGGUUGACGUCUUUAUAGUUACAGCCUGUCCUAUUAGGAGAGUUAGAGCUAUAACUACAAGCGGCACGGGCGAUACCGGCUAAGCGCCGUUGCUCCUCAACCUCCGCCUCAGUGGCUCGACCAACAGAAAAGUAAUCUUCGAGUACGACCAAUCUAGUCUCGCAUACACCCACAUUUCGUGUGCCUCACAAUGCGCGUCUUCUUCGGGCUUUGAUAAGGCGGCCCGCUCAAGGGUCUCCACUUCAGUCGCCUUGGCAUCGAGCUCAACAGUCCAAGUGGCAACUCUGGUGUGCAAUUGAGCUGCCUCCGCCGCUACUCCACGGUUGAUCUCCAGCUCCUCUUCUUUUGAUUGAAGGAGAGUCUCUAGAUCGAUGUUUCGAGCCAAAGCAGCCAUCAAUUGCUCGUCGACCUGCUCCAACUCGGCCACCCUCUGCUUCAAUUGAGCUUCCGAUUGUUCAAGACCCUCACAGAACACAUGAAAUUAAGGGUCAUGCUUGAGCACAUCUGCCAAUAUCUUAUGCUUGGCACGACAUUCCUUGUACUUCUUAGCCAUUUUGUUGAAGGAGGUCGCCUUCCUUUUCUCACGCUGCUUCCUCUCCACCUCCAAGACAAAGGUCUAAGAAGAAGAGGAAAGAAAGGAAAUACAUGUCAGUAUGUACCAAUGUCUCCUUUACAACCAUAAAAGAAAAACUGAAAGCUACCUGCAAAGCUGCACCGGCGACCCUCCUAGACAAAUCCCUGUUACUAAUACAUUUCAACAUUUCAUGCUUCGUAGCUGCACAAAACAAGGUCAUUUUUGUUGCGGCUUGCUCGCUAUUUUCUAACAAGUUAUACCUACCAGGGAUCACGAUUUGGCGGGUAGACCUUCCUGCCCUCAUCUCCACAUGGGCUGAACCCCCCGUUACAUCUCCAAUAGUGGCCUCAGGGGCCAUCCUCUCAAUCUCUACGCCCGCUUCCCCAACUGCAGAAGACAAACCACCCUCUAAGACGCGGGUUGAGCUAGCAACGAUGGUAGUUCUCCUUCAGGGAGCCAACAUCGGAUGGCCUCGGCCAUAAAAACUGGCCUUGACUCUCGACGGGUCUCGCUAGGCCUCACGUCCUCAGUCGCAAUCCCCUUACCAGUAAUCCGCCGCCGCCUCCUUCUCUCUAGUGGCUCUUCGCCUUCAGAAGCCUCUGCCACAGGCCUCGUGGACGACUCUGGGAACCACUUCAUUAGCGUUUGUGGCCUCAAGCCCAUCACAGGCAUGACCUCAGGUGUCAUUACCGGCGCAGUCCCCCGAGAACUUAUAGGAGCGCUGGGCGAGCCGCGUGAUACGACUUCAUCAUCUGAGUUGACCUCCGCCCUAUACGGGGCAACUACGGACUUCUUCCUUUUCGAAACAACCCAACCUGCCAACACAAGCGAGUCAAGUAACGAAAAUUUAAGAGGCUUUCGAAUCAAAGAAAAAAUAAAUUAAAAAAAAAACUACCUGGCGGGCCGUAUUGGCUACGGAACGCGGGCCAAGCGGCACUCCUCCGCAUAUGGUAUCAACCCCUCUACCCACGAUCUAAUAUUUUCGAUGGACCGAGGUGGAGAAGCCUCCACUACAAAAAAGAGAAAAAGAAGUCACAACGACUCGAGAGUCAGAACCCCAAUUAAUCACGAAAUGCACACAAGGAUACUUACAUUCUGAGUUCCAUCUCUCUGGGAACCAUUCAGGAUCAGACACCAGGUGCUCCGUCUUGAUGUAGAAAUAUCUUUUCCAGAAGCCGCGAUUGGCCUUAUCGUCAGACUUCACUACAAAGCUCUUCGUACCACGACUCUUCAAAUGGAGCAUGGUACACCCUCAAAUAUCUUGGGCUGAACAUCUGCAGAAGAUGAUGAACCGAGACCUCGCUCCUCGCACUGUCCCCGUACGUUGUAAGGAUUCUACUCACCUUUAAUGUAUAGGGCGUAAGCUGGGCCAAACACACCCUGUAAAAGCGGCAUAGAUCCUCCGCUAAAGGGUUAAAUGGUAGGUUGUAUCCGAUCCUAAAUGGAUACUCAUAAAAAGUACAAAACCCAGGCCUAUGCGCAUUGGCAUAGUCCAUCCCAGCCGGAACCAUUUCUACAUGACCCGGAAUGUUGUACGUUGAUCGAAGGGUUUCUAAGUGGAAUUGUCGCAGUUCAUUGUGUUCCCAAGGAAUAAAUGCGCUCUUCAUUUUAAAAUCACUUCAAACGUGCAUCUCCUUCGGAAGAACAUUCUCUACAGAGAGGGAAAUGAGCGCCUUUUUUGUCUCCUCCGCUUCGCUGCCAGAAGAGGGCGGAACCCUAGAUGGAGUGGUACCCUUGGUUUUCUAGCUACUUUGGCGUUUUACCAUGAUGUUUCGUCUAAGAAAGAAAGAAAGUGCUUAUCAGAAGAAAUGAAGCUUCAGAGAGAUAGAAGAGUCCCACACGAAAAUAUCAGUUAUCGGAGAGAAAGGCAAUGAAGAAAGUUGAGAAAUACUUUCCAAAAGUUCGAAAGAUGAAUCAAUUCGAACCUUUCCCUUAUUUAUAGGGUAACAUUGCGUGGAAAUCGAAAAGGCAUGACAAAAACGGACGCGGGAAACCACAACGUCACGUCACCACCCGAACCACCUCGGGAACAAAGGUAAUAAUGAUGCAUGCUACUGAUGACAUCAUUCCGAAAUGAGAUCAUACGUCAACAGUUCAAAUGUGUCAUGCAUUUUUGUCUCAUUCGUGCUAAAGUACGAGGAUGUGGCCAAAUUCUCUUAAGACGAGGCUUAUAAUUCCAUUCAUUGAAGACGUUCACCAGGUACGUCUCCAACGAACGGAGGGACUAACUAUAUGGCGUCGAAUUUGGCCCUCAACGUACCCAUGAUUAACGGGUAUGCCCCAUGAAUGAUGCCGACAAAAGUGAGGGCACGGCCCGGGCGGGGGNNNNNNNNNNNNNNGCUUAGCAUGACAAAAACGGACGCGGGAAACCACAACGUCACGUCACCACCCGAACCACCUCGGGAACAAAGGUAAUAAUGAUGCAUGCUACUGAUGACAUCAUUCCGAAAUGAGAUCAUACGUCAACAGUUCAAAUGUGUCAUGCAUUUUUGUCUCAUUCGUGCUAAAGUACGAGGAUGUGGCCAAAUUCUCUUAAGACGAGGCUUAUAAUUCCAUCCAUUGAAGACAUCCACCAGGUACGUCUCCAACGAACGGAGGGACUAAUUAUAUGGCGUCGAAUUUGGCCCUCAACGUACCCAUGAUUAACGGGUAUGCCCCAUGAAUAGAUGCCGACCAAAGUGAGUGCACGGCCCGGACGUGGGGGUAAAGGCGACGUGGUUUAGAACUUAACUUCUUCACUGAGCGGAAGUCACAUACUUUUGUACUUUUCCUUUGAUUAUUUCGAGGAAGGCCUCCUGCUAUAUAAAGGAGACCUUCACAUUGUAACAUGCAUGAUAAUUAUUCAUGAAUAAUACAACUUUUCUCUCUAUCUCUGUCUCCUAUAAUUGCUUCUCUCUUAAGCUAAGAUUAUCUUCUUUAUCUUUGAGAUCUAGAACUACCAUAUUAUCGAUCUAACCUCUGGUCAGAUUAUAUUUGAUUGCGAUUUACCCUUAUUAUCUGUUGAUUGUUUUCUAAAGCUUGCAAAGUAUAUCAAUAACUUUUGAGCUAAAAAGUUUUUUUCUCUUAUUCUAUGAUUCAUUGAAUAUUUUUAAUUACUAACUGUAAAUGCAUUUUUAUAUGUUUUGAUAAUUCAAAUAUAAGUUUCUCACAAGAUCUGUUAUUGCAAUAUUUCAGUCCAGUGAGAGCGCUUCAGAUAUUUUUGGAUGCAUGAAGAUCAAGGGGUUGCGAUGAAGGUGGCAACAUGAAUCAUCAAGCAAAUACUUAUGUUCAUUGCAAAAUUUUGUACAUUAUUUCUCAUCUAUGUUAUAAUCAAGCCUCAUAUUGGCUAGUUUUUCCUUCAAUUUUUUAUUAUUG